GACGAACGCUGGCGGCGUGCCUAAUACAUGCAAGUCGAACGCAGUGGGUACGGGGGAGGAACACGUGGGUAACCUCCCGUCAGAGCGGAUCACACUUGGAAACAGGUGCUAAACCGAUACUGAUGGAUGGACUCGCGGUGCAUUAGCUAGUUGGCGAGGUAACGGCCCACCAAGGCCACGAUGCAUAGCCGACCUGAGAGGGUGAUCGGCCACACUGGGACUUAGAAACGGCCCAGACUCCUACGGGAGGCAGCAGUAGGGAAGCUUCGGCAAUGGACGAAAGUCUGACCGAGCAACGCCGCGUGAGUGAAGAAGGUUUUCGGAUCGUAAAACUCUGUUGUUAGAGAAGCGGUAUCUAACCAGAAAGCCACGGCUAACUACGUGCCAGCAGCCGCGGUAAUUC
This 403-nucleotide ribosomal RNA is filed under the name uncultured bacterium. Its description in RNAcentral is "partial 16S ribosomal RNA". It matches the Rfam family "Bacterial small subunit ribosomal RNA", at positions 28 to 526 of the family's 1533-position model. The record is from RNAcentral.